RNAcentral lists this long non-coding RNA (762 nucleotides) under Monodelphis domestica (gray short-tailed opossum). RNAcentral describes it as "lncRNA (ENSMODG00000039054.1)". Lineage: Eukaryota; Metazoa; Chordata; Mammalia; Didelphimorphia; Didelphidae. The record is from RNAcentral.
AAGUGCACACUUAGAGCCCUCUCUGUCCCAAAUGUCCAUACACUCAACCUGUGCUACGUACAGCCUUUUGUACUCCUUACUGGUCUAUUCAGCCACAUUAGACACAUUGACCACAACAUAGUGAUGCCAUUUUUUACUCUCUUCGAGUAAAAAGGACAACAACCCACCAACUAGGGCUGAGUCCAUCCUUCAUUAGGGAAAUGGCUAUACAGCUGUGAUAAAUGAAUGCAAUGGACUAUCUCUGGGCUAUAAGAAACUAUAAAUACAGAGAAGCAUGGGAAGAAGAAUACGAAGCUAAGAUUUGUCAGAGAACAGAAACCCAAGUAUGGACUUUGAUCUUCAGAUGGGUAACUACAUACAGCCAUUACUCCCCAGGGACUGGCCCAGGGAUGAUAGCCUCUCUGCUCAAGUGAUGGUAGCAGCCAGAAGGCAGAGUGGUAAAGACUAUCGAUCUGUUCGGAGCCCCACAGCUGAGGAGAAUCUGAGGCCAGAUUUUAACCCAGGACCAUGCUCUCAGUUCCCUGAGCCACCCAUUUGCAAAAUACCUUCUCGAUCUCGGCCCAGGUGAGAUUACAAGGCAUUCUGGGGAAGUGGAGCAAAGGCUUGUGGGGAUUGUAGUCUUGUAUUCGAAUCUAUUAUUUACACCUGUCAUACACUUCUUGGCUCAUUUAAUUUCCCAACCCUGACUUCUGGAGGAAAUACUUAAAGUUUUAAACUAAUCUCAAGUCUAGUUAUCUCCAAAAGGAGGGAAUCAGAGGUAUU